AGAGGAAGUAAAAGUCGUAACAAGGUCUCCGUUGGUGAACCAGCGGAGGGAUCAUUACUGAGUUUACGCUCUACAACCCUUUGUGAACAUACCUAUAACUGUUGCUUCGGCGGGUAGGGUCUCCGCGACCCUCCCGGCCUCCCGCCUCCGGGCGGGUCGGCGCCCGCCGGAGGAUAACCAAACUCUGAUUUAACGACGUUUCUUCUGAGUGGUACAAGCAAAUAAUCAAAACUUUUAACAACGGAUCUCUUGGUUCUGGCAUCGAUGAAGAACGCAGCGAAAUGCGAUAAGUAAUGUGAAUUGCAGAAUUCAGUGAAUCAUCGAAUCUUUGAACGCACAUUGCGCCCGCCAGCAUUCUGGCGGGCAUGCCUGUUCGAGCGUCAUUUCAACCCUCAAGCUCUGCUUGGUGUUGGGGCCCUACAGCUGAUGUAGGCCCUCAAAGGUAGUGGCGGACCCUCUCGGAGCCUCCUUUGCGUAGUAACUUUACGUCUCGCACUGGGAUCCGGAGGGACUCUUGCCGUAAAACCCCCAAUUUUCCAAAGGUUGACCUCGGAUCAGGUAGGAAUACCCGCUUAAACUUAAGCAUAUCA
RNAcentral lists this ribosomal RNA (590 nucleotides) under Colletotrichum gloeosporioides. Its description in RNAcentral is "eukaryotic LSU rRNA". The stretch from base 230 to 383 matches the Rfam family "5.8S ribosomal RNA". Lineage: Eukaryota; Fungi; Ascomycota; Sordariomycetes; Glomerellales; Glomerellaceae. The record is from RNAcentral.